UACGUAGGGUGCAAGCGUUAUUCGGAAUUACUGGGCGUAAAGCGUGCGCAGGCGGUGAUGUAAGACAGUUGUGAAAUCCCCGGGCUCAACCUGGGAACUGCUUCUGUGACUGCAUCGCUGGAGUGCGGCAGAGGGGGAUGGAAUUCCGCGUGUAGCAGUGAAAUGCGUAGAUAUGCGGAGGAACACCGAUGGCGAAGGCAAUCCCCUGGGCCUGCACUGACGCUCAUGCACGAAAGCGUGGGGAGCAAACAGG
RNAcentral lists this ribosomal RNA (253 nucleotides) under uncultured bacterium. RNAcentral's name for it is "partial 16S ribosomal RNA". It matches the Rfam family "Bacterial small subunit ribosomal RNA", at positions 524 to 776 of the family's 1533-position model. The record is from RNAcentral.